CAAUAGCGUAUAUUAAAGUUGUUGCGGUUAAAAAGCCCGUAGUUGGAGUUCUGCCAGGUGCCGCCUGUCCGCCCCAGUGGUGAGUACGUGGCGCGCAUUUGGCCCUUUCAAGGGGAGCGUAUCUGCACUUUAUUGUGUGGUGCGGGAUCCUUGACUUUUACUUUGAGGAAAUAGGAGUGUUCCAAGCAGGCUCUCGUCGUGCACAGCUCAGCAUGGAAUAAUAGCAUUGGACCUCGAUUCUAAGCUGUUGGUUGCCAGAAGCGAGGUAAUGAUGAAGAGGGAUAGUUGGGGGCAUUCGUAUUUAACUGUCAGAGGUGAAAUUCUUGGAUUUGUUAAAGACGGGCUACUGCGAAAGCAUCUGCCAUGGAUGUUUUCAUUGA
Molecule: ribosomal RNA, 380 nt
Filed under: uncultured eukaryote
Lineage: Eukaryota
Description: partial 18S ribosomal RNA
Rfam family: Eukaryotic small subunit ribosomal RNA
Source: RNAcentral